Molecule: ribosomal RNA, 439 nt
Filed under: uncultured bacterium
Lineage: Bacteria
Description: partial 16S ribosomal RNA
Rfam family: Bacterial small subunit ribosomal RNA
Source: RNAcentral
CUACAGGUGGCUGCAGUGGGGAACAUUGCACAAUGGAGGAAACUCUGAUGCAGCAACGCCGCGUGGAGGAUGACACUUUUCGGAGCGUAAACUCCUUUUAUAUAGGAAGAAGAUGACGGUACUAUAUGAAUAAGCGCCGGCUAACUCCGUGCCAGCAGCCGCGGUAAUACGGAGGGCGCAAGCGUUACUCGGAAUCACUGGGCGUAAAGAGCGUGUAGGCGGAUUAAAAAGUCAGAAGUGAAAUCCUAUAGCUUAACUAUAGAACUGCUUCUGAAACUCUUAAUCUAGAAUAUGGGAGAGGUAGAUGGAAUUUCUGGUGUAGGGGUAAAAUCCGUAGAGAUCAGAAGGAAUACCGAUUGCGAAGGCGAUCUACUAGAACAUUAUUGACGCUGAGACGCGAAAGCGUGGGGAGCAAACAGGAUUAGAUACCCGCGUAGUC